AGAGUUUGAUCAUGGCUCAGAACGAACGCUGGCGGCAGGCCUAACACAUGCAAGUCGAACGCCGUAGCAAUACGGAGUGGCGCACGGGUGAGGAACGCGUGGGAACGUACCCUUUAGUACGGAAUAGCUCCGGGAAACUGGAAUUAAUACCGUAUACGCCCUUCGGGGGAAAGAUUUAUCGCUAAAGGAUCGGCCCGCGUAAGAUUAGCUAGUUGGUAGGGUAAUGGCCUACCAAGGCUACGAUCUUUAGCUGGUCUGAGAGGAUGAUCAGCCACACUGGAACUGAGACACGGUCCAGACUCCUACGGGAGGCAGCAGUGAGGAAUAUUGGACAAUGGGCGAAAGCCUGAUCCAGCCAUGCCGCGUGAAUGAUGAAGGCCUUAGGGUUGUAAAGUUCUUUCGGUGGUGAAGAUAAUGACGGUAACCACAGAAGAAGCCCCGGCUAACUUCGUGCCAGCCGCCGCGGUAAUAC
This 472-nucleotide ribosomal RNA is filed under the name uncultured bacterium. RNAcentral's name for it is "bacterial SSU rRNA". It matches the Rfam family "Bacterial small subunit ribosomal RNA", at positions 8 to 526 of the family's 1533-position model. The record is from RNAcentral.